AGAACGAACGCUGGCGGCAUGCCUAACACAUGCAAGUCGAACGAGACCUUCGGGUCUAGUGGCGCACGGGUGCGUAACGCGUGGGAAUCUGCCCUUCGGUUCGGAAUAACAGUUAGAAAUGACUGCUAAUACCGGAUAAUGACGUAAGUCCAAAGAUUUAUCGCCGAAGGAUGAGCCCGCGUAAGAUUAGCUUGUUGGUGAGGUAAAGGCUCACCAAGGCUACGAUCUUUAGCUGGUCUGAGAGGAUGAUCAGCCACACUGGGACUGAGACACGGCCCAGACUCCUACGGGAGGCAGCAGUGGGGAAUAUUGGACAAUGGGCGAAAGCCUGAUCCAGCAAUGCCGCGUGAGUGAUGAAGGCCUUAGGUUGUAAAGCUCUUUACCGGGAUGAUAAUGACAGUACCGGAGAAUAAGACUCGGCUAACUCCGUGCCAGCACGCCGC
This 443-nucleotide ribosomal RNA is filed under the name uncultured soil bacterium. RNAcentral's name for it is "bacterial SSU rRNA". It matches the Rfam family "Bacterial small subunit ribosomal RNA", at positions 26 to 518 of the family's 1533-position model. The record is from RNAcentral.